RNAcentral lists this ribosomal RNA (253 nucleotides) under uncultured bacterium. Its description in RNAcentral is "partial 16S ribosomal RNA". It matches the Rfam family "Bacterial small subunit ribosomal RNA", at positions 524 to 776 of the family's 1533-position model. The record is from RNAcentral.
UACGUAGGUGGCAAGCGUUGUCCGGAAUUAUUGGGCGUAAAGCGCGCGCAGGCGGUCCUUUAAGUCUGAUGUGAAAGCCCCGGGCUCAACCUGGGAACUGCAUUUGAAACUGGCGGGCUUGAGUGUGGCAGAGGGGGGUGGAAUUCCGCGUGUAGCAGUGAAAUGCGUAGAGAUGCGGAGGAACACCGAUGGCGAAGGCAGCCCCCUGGGCCAACACUGACGCUCAGGCACGAAAGCGUGGGGAGCAAACAGG